Long non-coding RNA from Cornus florida, 3554 nucleotides. RefSeq lists it as uncharacterized. The transcript has 2 exons. The record is from RefSeq and is a predicted model, not a curated record. Lineage: Eukaryota; Viridiplantae; Streptophyta; Magnoliopsida; Cornales; Cornaceae.
CUCUCUCUAACCACGCUUUCAGUUUUUUUUUGGUUUUGCUUUCAGAACUCUCUAGAUCGCUAAACCUCCCCCAGAUCAGUCGAUAGUUGCCCUUCUCUCAUCAAGCCUUUCUUUCUCUCUAAACCCGUCCGUGUCGAUUUAAAUUUUGAGCGGGAACCAUUAGAUCGGGUUUGUUAAUCGAACGGCCCAUACAAGUCCACGUGGAGGAGCACAGACGAUCUAUACUAAUACUGAUAUAAUCAGAGAACGACGUCAACUAAUACUUACGGUAUCUCUUUUUUUACUAGAGCCCAGCCCAAAACGACGUCGUUUUGUUCUGGGCGAGUUUAUAUCCUUCUGAGUGAGAGAUAAGGACGACGGUGAUGGUGUAUGUGCUUCUAUUCGUAUGGCUUUCCACUUCAACUCCUACGGUUUUGUGUAUAUAUUUGUAUUGUUGUGUUUGGUUUGCAUCAUUAUAUUUGACUGUAAAAAUUGUAGAAUUUGAAAAGGGUUUUUGGAUGCUAUUACACUUCAAUCGAGUUUGGUAGUUUCUUUGUUAUCUUCGAAUCUAAGCUAAUUGAGGAUUAGUUUAUGUUUAUGUAUGUGACUUAGUAUUUCAGUUGUAAUGGAUGUGUUAAUUGACUUUUGAAAUUGCUGAACCCUGUUGGUCUGGAUAUGGAUUUGCUUGUGUAUGUUUAUGUAGAAUUUGAAAAGGGUGAUUGGGUGCUAUUACAUUUCAAUCAAGUUUGGGGAUUUCUCUGUUAUUGUUGAAUCUGAUCAAAUUGAGUAUAGUUUGUUUAUGUUUAUGCGUGUGACUUAGUCUUUCAAUUGUAAUUGAUGUGUUAAUUUUUUAAUCUGAUCAAAUUGAGUAUUAGUUUGUUUAUUUAUUUAUUUUUUUUUGUUGAACCCUGUUAGUAUGUAUACGGAAUUGCAUGUGUAUAUGACUUGUGAUGUUUGCUAAUAAAAUGAGGAAAGGAAGUGAGAGUUAUGAAUAUGGAAUUUUAUGCUUUACCUUUCUUUUCUUUUUUCGCUAAUUAAAAAAAAAUUGAUUACAAGAUAAAGGUACUUCAUGGGUUCAUUUUUUUUUUUUUUAACUUUAAAACUUGUAGUCUUUCAUUUUGGUGUGAAUUUUAAUUAAGCAAGCUGGCAAUUGUUGUUUAUUAGUCUAUAAUCUUAAUUAUGAUUCCUUUGGCUACUUGGUCACACCCACUGGGUGAUUGAAUAGCUUCAUAUCAAAUUGGCUUGUAGUCCUCAAGCUGGCAAUUGUUGUUUAUUAGUCUAUAAUCUUAAUUAUGAUUCCUUUGGCUACUUGGUCACACCCACUAAGUGUAGACUCCAUCCUGACAAUGAUAUCUUUAGGGAUCAGGAGCAGCACAAGAUUCAUGUGGAUAAAAAUUAAUGGCGCUGCGGAUACUGUAAGAAAAUUUUCCGAGCAGAGAAGUUUCUUGAUCAACAUUAUGACAACAGACACUACAAUCUUCUGAAUGUUUGCAUGAUGCUUCUUGUAGGGGAGAAAAAGAUUGAUAAUGGUUGAGCACUCAAUACAUCCUUUUAACAUGCAAUUUUGUAUUGCUUUUAAGGUUUUUGGGCCUUUAAGGAUUUAUCUUCCAAAUCGGUUAUAGUCUCAGAAUAUAUGACAAUUUUUAAUGCAUAAAAUGGCUUGUGAGAUUGAAGAGUCUGAAGACUUAUGUCUCAAUCUGACUUCAUGGACCCCUCGCCAAAUUGCAUUUGUCAAUGGAAGCCAUAGGUCAGCAGAUUCGCUUGGUAAAAUUGCUCCAUUUAUUAGUGGUGUAGCAUUCCUGCAUCCCAACAUUAUGGCAUUUAUUGUAUACUGAAAAUUUUAAGACAAUAGAGGUACUUUUUUCCGGUGAAUACGAUUUUCUGUAGUCAUGAUCUAGCCCUUUUGUCUUGGACUUGAUAGUCGAAUUGGUUGAAUUGACUUGGCUCUAGAAUGUAUUGUGAUGGAUGCAGAUAAUUUUUAGGGAUUGUUACUAUGUGAUCCUUUUUAUUACUGUUCUGGUACACCAUCUAUUCUUAUGUUCCAAUUAGUUGUUAUACUGAAAAGAAACCAUUUCUUCACAAAUCUCACACAACCAAUUCAUGCAUGAACAGGAAGGUUGUUACUUUUUCCCCAUGUGAUGCUUCCUGAUGAUAGGGUAAUUAUUAAGUCCCAGUAAUCUCACCAUUUGGAAAAGGCCUCUUCUACAAUACAGUUUUGCAAAACCACGUCAGUCAAACAUCAAUACAGGUCUCUUCUACAGCAAAUAGCAAUCCUUAUUAUAGGGCUAUUUGAAAAAAACAAAACCCUCCUGUACUAUACAAGUUUUUGCAACUUAACCCCCUCAACUAUUGAAAAUGUCGCAGGAUAAUCCCCUCAAGGGUGGCAAAUUGCAACAUCUUUUAGCUGGCAUUCUAAUUUUCAAAGAUUUGUUUAUUGAUCCAUUUGCUAGAUGCUAACAUUAACAAUCUUAAUCAUGCACUACAGUUUCAUCUUUGAUGCUUCUUCAGAAAUGCUUUCACCCAGGAUUGCAGUUCACGUGUGACCCCAAAUGCAAGGAAUAUCAACUAACUGUAGAGCUGAAUUUGUGUGCCUUAUUUUCCUCUGUUUUUCCCAACUAAUCACAUACCUGACUUCCUAUAUGGGGCGUUUAAGCCUCGUAAAGAGAGAACAAGAGAGUUGCCAAAUGUUCUUCCAAAGGACUUUGAAGUCCUUUGCAGUUCUCAGAGAGAGCAUCACAACAUUCCAAAGACAUUUUCUAGGCAUCACCAUGAUUAUUCUCGCAACUAUCGGCCACUCCCUGCCUCCAAAUUCUGUACAUGGUUCAUGUAAUCUUCCAUCUUCUUUGGCCGUGAAGUCCUUUCUACAUCAACAUAGGCUGACCCACUCCACAAAGCCAUAGAAAGGUCUGUACUUUAUGUGUCUACAGUUGUGCUCGCACUCAAAAGCAUUUUUAUAGAAAUUGCUGAUCUCAUAAAUGGUCACAAGGGCAUUGGAAAGCAUGGUUGAAUCCAUUAUAUCUUAGAAGGCCGGGGCAGAGGAAACUUCCCCGGCAUCUGUAAACACUCCAAUGUCAAUUUUGAACCGAACAAAAACCUUCUCUCCGUGCCUUCAUGUAGCGGUUCACUAACUGUAGUUUACUUGAAGUAUACCGAACUCGCUGCUUUGAUCACCUUGCAAAUAAUAAACCAAUACAUGGACAGUUGGUGCUUCAAAAGUGAGCUUUAUAACUGUCUUCUGAAUGUUUCUGGUGUUUGGUGAGGGAGAGAGAUAUGAGGUCCAUUCUUCAAUGCUCACUUCACAUAACCACCAAUCUCAUGAUAAAUUCUAAUCGUGUUGCUGUUACUUUCAUGGUAGAGGAAUUCGAUGUAAUUAAAGAUUCGUGGUUUUUAGUUUGGGUUGAAGACAAGCCGAGAGCAAUGUUUUGGAAGGUAACAUUAACUGCAGAAAUGGAGGUGGACAGGCUGAAGUUAAAAGGGUGUUCUAAUUGAUAGAUAGGGAGUGUGUUUCGCAUUACAUGCUUCUUUUUUUUUUUUUUUUUUUUUUUUUUUUUUUUUUUUUUUUUUUUUUUCUGUUU